GAUGAACGCUGGCGGCGUGCCUAAUACAUGCAAGUCGAACGAACAGAUGAGGAGCUUGCUCCUCUGACGUUAGCGGCGGACGGGUGAGUAACACGUGGAUAACCUACCUAUAAGACUGGGAUAACUUCGGGAAACCGGAGCUAAUACCGGAUAAUAUAUUGAACCGCAUGGUUCAAUAGUGAAAGACGGUUUUGCUGUCACUUAUAGAUGGAUCCGCGCCGCAUUAGCUAGUUGGUAAGGUAACGGCUUACCAAGGCAACGAUGCGUAGCCGACCUGAGAGGGUGAUCGGCCACACUGGAACUGAGACACGGUCCAGACUCCUACGGGAGGCAGCAGUAGGGAAUCUUCCGCAAUGGGCGAAAGCCUGACGGAGCAACGCCGCGUGAGUGAUGAAGGUCUUCGGAUCGUAAAACUCUGUUAUUAGGGAAGAACAAAUGUGUAAGCAACUAUGCACGUCUUGACGGUACCUAAUCAGAAAGCCACGGCUAACUACGUG
RNAcentral lists this ribosomal RNA (497 nucleotides) under uncultured bacterium. Its description in RNAcentral is "partial 16S ribosomal RNA". It matches the Rfam family "Bacterial small subunit ribosomal RNA", at positions 28 to 507 of the family's 1533-position model. The record is from RNAcentral.